RNAcentral lists this ribosomal RNA (306 nucleotides) under Triticum aestivum (bread wheat). Its description in RNAcentral is "partial small subunit ribosomal RNA". The record is from RNAcentral. Lineage: Eukaryota; Viridiplantae; Streptophyta; Magnoliopsida; Poales; Poaceae.
AUGAUGCGCCUCCUCACCGGCUCCAGCUCCCCGUCCUCCUCCUCCUCCUUCCGCUUCCAGCCGCGCUCCGUCGACGCCUUCGGCUCCACCGUCAUCGCCGAGGGCGUCGACGACAAGGCCAAGGCGUACUGGGUGCACGCCUGGACCGUGGGUGCCGAUGGGGUGAUCACCCAGCUGCGCGAGUACUUCAACACCGACCUCACCGUCACGCGCCUCGCCGCCGCCGCCGCGUCCAAGUGCGUCUGGCAGAGCCGCCGCCCCGACCGCGCCCGCAACUCCCUCCCGGGCCUCGUCCUCGCCCUCUAA